This 59-nucleotide ribosomal RNA is filed under the name Elsinoe fawcettii (citrus scab fungus). RNAcentral describes it as "partial 28S ribosomal RNA". It matches the Rfam family "Eukaryotic large subunit ribosomal RNA", at positions 1 to 57 of the family's 3401-position model. The record is from RNAcentral. Lineage: Eukaryota; Fungi; Ascomycota; Dothideomycetes; Myriangiales; Elsinoaceae.
GUUGACCUCGGAUCAGGUAGGAAUACCCGCUGAACUUAAGCAUAUCAAUAAGCGGAGAA